AUGAUUUUAGAUACGAGGUGGAACAUUGACAACAUAUUUCAUUCGUUUAAAAAUCCAGCGACAAAGGAAUUCUUCAGCGCGAUUGAGAACCCAACUUCCCACGCCUUCCGCAAUGUAUUCUCGUUCAUCUGUUACGUGUCGCCUUUCAAUUCUUCGUGUAACCACGCGUUCGGUCUUCUACAUUUUUACAGAUCUUAUACAUCAUUUGUUCCUCAUUGUGACUUGGAAAUAAGAAGUUCUUUCAAGUGAUAAAUUUAAAAAAUAUUCGCAGAGAAAGAGGACGAGGCCAUCGAAAAGAUUAUAGACAAAAAUAUAUCCUCCAUGUUUAUGGAUCUUCUUUUCUUCCUACGUUGUGUC
Long non-coding RNA from Apis florea (little honeybee), 357 nucleotides. The record is from RefSeq and is a predicted model, not a curated record. NCBI's taxonomy places the organism in Eukaryota, Metazoa, Arthropoda, Insecta, Hymenoptera, Apidae.